This 253-nucleotide ribosomal RNA is filed under the name uncultured bacterium. Its description in RNAcentral is "partial 16S ribosomal RNA". It matches the Rfam family "Bacterial small subunit ribosomal RNA", at positions 524 to 776 of the family's 1533-position model. The record is from RNAcentral.
UACGUAGGGUGCAAGCGUUGUCCGGAAUUAUUGGGCGUAAAGAGCUCGUAGGCGGUUUGUUGCGUCGGCUGUGAAAUCCCGAGGCUCAACCUCGAGACGCCGGCGGAAACCCCCAAGCUAGAGUCCGGAAGAGGAGAGUGGAAUUCCUGGUGUAGCGGUGAAAUGCGCAGAUAUCAGGAAGAACACCCGUGGCGAAGGCGGCUCUCUGGGACGGUACUGACGCUGAGACGCGAAAGCGUGGGGAGCGAACAGG